This 1122-nucleotide long non-coding RNA is filed under the name Felis catus (domestic cat). Its description in RNAcentral is "lncRNA (ENSFCAG00000048836.1)". The record is from RNAcentral. Lineage: Eukaryota; Metazoa; Chordata; Mammalia; Carnivora; Felidae.
GGGUGACCUCCCUGCCGCCAGGCUUUGACAGGUCCUGGUGUUGAUGAUGACGGUGACAGCAUGGCCACAAUUUUCCUCUGAAGGCAGUUCAAAGUCCUAGCGAUAAUCUGGAGUCUGUUUUGCUACAGAAUCAGGGUCUCCUGACCCUUAACCUUGAUUUUUGCCGUGAAAGGCCUUCACAAAACUACGGUGUUGCUUUCUUUUACUUUCUAUUUCGGUUUUUUUUUUAAUUUUUUUUUUUUAGGCAUUAGUCAGAAAGAGUGAUUUUACUCUUACGAUGAUAUGAGCAAAAGGGAAGGCCAGAGCCAGAGAAGAGUCGAAGACGGGGCCCGGUUUCAAAUCGACUGAGACUCUUUACGGUGUGUCUGGCCAAUGUAAGUGGUGGGAUUUUGUCUCUGGUGUUUUGUUCCCGUUUGCACAGUGCUUUGCUCAGCGGUUGGUCCAGCGGCUUCAGAUCUACGAAGAGAUCUCGGCCACUGGUUCUAACCCAGGCCCAGCUGCAGUGGUUGGCGGCCCCCGCCUGCCCCCCCUGCCCACACCGCACGCCUCCGGCCUUCUGCCCGCCAUCUUUCUCCUGUGAGGCGUCAACUAUGUCCUGGUGCCCGUUUGGCCCCUGCACAUGUGCAACCCGCAAGUUUAGAUAAAGUAAACCGACACACAAGAGGUUUCGAAGGUUCGACGGUUCUUUGAUGCUCCAACCUUCUAUGUAGUUGAGACACUUCAAAUCAUCUCCUAAAACAAAAGGUAAGAAAUGGUUUUACAAAACUGUGGUACUUGAUGUGAGCACUUUGUGUGUGUGUGUGUAAGAAACUUUCUUCUUAUGCAUGGUCUCAUUUUAAUCCUACUCUCUGGUAGGUGUUUUUAACAAUGCUACAGAUGAAAAAUACACCUCGGAAGUGCAAGUAACUUCUCCAAAGUUCUAUAACAGGUCUAGGCUUCCCAUUCAGGUUCAAAUCCAAAGUGCUGCUGUCCCCACUCAUUUGGUUUACUUGCUUAUGAAGUAUUUUUGAAUAUGUACCAGGCAUAAUGUAUUAAUGAACAUGUAUCAGGCAUUAAUGUAUUAAUGACGUCCCAAACUGCAGGAACCUAAAGAGUUUUUGGUGGAGACAGGCCAGGAAAGAG